This 247-nucleotide ribosomal RNA is filed under the name uncultured bacterium. RNAcentral describes it as "partial 16S ribosomal RNA". It matches the Rfam family "Bacterial small subunit ribosomal RNA", at positions 523 to 769 of the family's 1533-position model. The record is from RNAcentral.
AUACGAGUGGUGCAAGCGUUAUUCGGAAUAAUUGGGCGUACAGGGUGCGUAGACGGUAUGUUAAGUCUGCUGUUAAAUCCUCCGGCUUAACCGGAGAUCUGCGGUGGAAACUGGCAUACUAGAGGGUGGAAGAGAGAAGUGGAAUUCUCGGUGUAGCGGUAAAAUGCGUAGAUAUCGAGAGGAACACCGAUGGCGAAGGCAGCUUCUUGGUCCAUUCCUGACGUUGAGGCACGAAAGCGUGGGGAGC